CCAGCAUUGUCUGGCUGCCCUCAGGGUUGAUUCGGGGGUAGAUGUUAAAGCCAGGGCCUCCCCACUGCACAGAUGGGAUCAUUUAGGCCCAGGGAAUGGCGGGGCUGGCCAGGGGCCACAAAACCACGGCCAGGCUCUCUAGGCCAAAAAGUGGGGCUCGUCAGAAUCCAAUGAGGCCUCUCUAAAUUUGGAUGGGAGGAUACUGGUGUCCCCCCCAACACAGCCACCCCACCUGCUGAAGGAUGGCUCCUCUGCCUGGCUCUGACCCUGGGGCCCUCGUACCUCCACCCAAGACACGGAGCCCACAGCUCUGCCCAGAGACGUCACAGGGAGGGACUGAAGGUUCAACAGCUCAAAGAGGUUGUGUGCCUGGAGGAGGAGUGGUCAGAAACGUCAGAGGACGAGUGGUGCUCAGUCCACACCCCUGGCUUCAGUAUCUCCCACGCCCAGGGCUGUGAGCCGAGGUGGAGGCUCCAGCCAGGCCUCUGUCCCCACGCCCCUGUCUUAGAGCCUGGGAAAGGGGCGGGGCGUAGUAAUGGACCUGGGCCCGCAAUGUCCUCUGCGGCCACCUGGGGUCUCCAGAGUCCACACGAGGGACCAAUGGACAGGACCGGUUUAUUUAGGGAGAUCAUCGGGCUCCACAGAGGAGCUGAGGCCACCUGCACGGUCCUCAACCUGCUUGUGCCCCUCCCAACCCCAUGUGCCAAAGCCCCUGUUGUGCAGGGUAGGGAGGGAUCAGCAUUCGGAGUGACCAGGUAAUUGCCCACAUGGAUCACACAGGGAGAAUGUAGGAGACCUGAAAUUGAGACCCACAUGGACCCUCAUAUGCAAAAACAUAUUUUUAACUACUGUCUCUCUCCACCCAAGCUCUCCCUCCCCCCUAGUCUUUGCAUCAUCCCAAGAUCCCUAGGAAUGAGGGACAGAGAGGACAAGGACCACUCUGCUCAUUCUACAGAUGAGGAUACAGACCCAGAGAGCCACAGGGUGCCAAGAAAGCUAGACCCUAAAUUCCCCUCUUGGGCUCUUCCCCUUUAUCCCACUGUCAUUGUCUGCCCGAACCCAUUACCUGGUGCAGAGAGGUCUCCGGGGUCAGCUGCAGGGUCACUGGCUCCAGGGGACAGCCCCCUGCCAAGAUGUCCUGGAGGCACCGCUGGGGGUGGGGGAAGGAUUAUGGGGCCCUGGGCCAGCCUCUGCCUCCUCCAGGCUGUCCCUCUCAAACCACCCUUCCCCAAGGCGUCCCCCUCACUCCCCUGCUCACCACUCCCCAUCCUGACACCCCAUACGAGUACUCACCUGGCGUCCUGAAGCCCAGGAAGGUGGCUCAGCCUGGAGUGCCUGCACCAAGUGGGCCCUUCCCACUGUGCCCACCAGGAUCUGAGACUCUGCACAAGCGGAGAGGGAGAGAGCCACAUUAGGAAGAAGACACAUUUACUGGGCAGCGACUAUGUGCCAAGAACCGUACCAGGCAUUCCCAUGUCCCUCAGGAACCUACAGCAGCCCUCUGGGUCGGGAGCUAUUGCCGCGCAUUUUCAGAAGAGGAAGCUGAGGCUCAGAGACACGGAGAGGUUAAUCAUCCUGCCCCAGGGUUUCAGGAGAGAUGAGUUAGCUGAGGAAUGCUUGAAGGAGAGGCCCAGAUGGAGAAACUAAGGUGUGCACCAAGGUGACGGCUUGCACACGCUUGGAGCUGGGCCUGGGACCUGAGACUCUCAGAGCCUCUUAGUCCUGCUUCUCCGGGAACAGGCGGCUCUCGUCCUGCCUGGCCAAGCGGGAUUCCAAAGCCUGAUUCCAGCCCCCAACGUCCCAGCAAGGACAGCAGAGCAGGAGUGGGAGAGAGGAGGGGACCUCCCAGAUCUGGUGCUGACUCUGUGUGACAGGGGCAAGGCGCGGCACCUCUCUGUGCCCCAGUGUCCAGCAAACGGGCAACAGCUGUCCUGUUGUGUAGACAGACUGAUGACCAAUGAGACACUGAGGCCAGGGGUCCAAGCACUUGCCCAGGGGCAUGCAGGGAGCUGGAGAGAGUGGAGACGACGUGGCUGUGUGCUGGCCCCUUCCAGGCCCCCCCAUGUCCAAGGUCCACCACAGUGAGGUUUUCUGCGGGGGUGGUGAGGAGGCCUUCACCCUCAUCAGCCAGAGCAACGUGGGCUCCUCUCACCUGAUUUUUCGGCCUCGGAUCCAUGGAAGACCCCGGGAACCCCAGGCUCACCGAAGAUGAAUAUGGGCAUGAAGUACCCAGCGGGCAUCGGGAUGGUGGUGGCCAGAAUCAGCAUCCAGAACUGCGGGAGCAGCAGAGGUUAGAGGCAACUGGACGAGAGCGGCCGAGAGGGGGAUGGCCAGGGGACGGGGCACUUGCCCAGGGAGGAGGCUGUCCAGGCCGGGCACUGACCCAAGGCAGGAAACCCACCCCGACAAAGAGCCUGCUGUGUGCCUGGCACCUCGCCAAGGGCUUUCCUUUCUUGCCUUUCAACCUUCCCUUUGAGGUAGGCACAGCGACUCUCCCAUUUGAAAGAUGAGGAAACCGAGGCUCAGAACCCCAGCCACUUGGCCCGGUCAGAGCUGGCCGGAGGCAGGUCAGGCAGCCUGGGUGGAAGGCCCGGGCGCCCACGCAAUGGGAGGCACGGCUCCCCACCCCGUCCAAGGCCGGCCUCACUCUGCACAACCCCGGGGGCCCCGGCACCCACCUUCAUAACCAGAAAGAAGGUGAGGGUCCCAAAGAUGGUGAAGCGCGGGUGGUACCAUUCAAACCACAGGUUCUGGGGGUCGAGCUCCUGGGGCCAGGGCGGGGAUGAGUUCCUGGUCAUCAGCGCCCACGAGUGGUUGUCGAACAUGUCCUCAUCUGGAACGUGAGGAUGCCCCACAGGCUUCGCCUUACAGAUGAAGCGAGAUGCCGGGCACAGUGUGGGUAACCGAUGGGAGCUCCCCACUCCCGCCGCCCCAGCCCAGCGCCCCUUACCCGAGAGGCCAGGAAGCGGCCCACGCCAGGGGGGUAGGUGAUGGAGGCCAGAACCAAGGCCGCCAGGGCGGAAUACAGAGGUUUGCUGUGGGGCGGUGGGGGGGUGGGGGGUAAGCUCCAGGCCAGCCCUCUUCUUCCCCCACCCCAUGGAGGGGGCACCGGGCAGGAGCAGGCCCCCACACACCAAGGGCCGCAC
Canis lupus familiaris (dog) is the source of this 3146-nucleotide long non-coding RNA. RefSeq lists it as uncharacterized. The transcript has 5 exons. The record is from RefSeq and is a predicted model, not a curated record. NCBI's taxonomy places the organism in Eukaryota, Metazoa, Chordata, Mammalia, Carnivora, Canidae.